GACGGAGGGUGCAAGCGUUGUUCGGAAUUACUGGGCGUAAAGGGCGCGUAGGCGGUCUGUUAAGUUCGGUGUGAAAGCCCCCGGCUCACCUGGGGAACUGCGCCGGAAACCGACAGACUCGAGUACCGGAGAGGAGGGUGGAAUUCCUGGUGUAGCGGUGAAAUGCGUAGAUAUCAGGAGGAACACCGGUGGCGAAGGCGGCCCUCUGGACGGAUACUGACGCUGAGGCGCGAAAGCCAGGGGAGCAAACGGG
RNAcentral lists this ribosomal RNA (253 nucleotides) under uncultured bacterium. Its description in RNAcentral is "partial 16S ribosomal RNA". It matches the Rfam family "Bacterial small subunit ribosomal RNA", at positions 524 to 776 of the family's 1533-position model. The record is from RNAcentral.